RNAcentral lists this ribosomal RNA (426 nucleotides) under uncultured cyanobacterium. RNAcentral's name for it is "bacterial SSU rRNA". It matches the Rfam family "Bacterial small subunit ribosomal RNA", at positions 357 to 797 of the family's 1533-position model. Lineage: Bacteria; Bacillati; Cyanobacteriota. The record is from RNAcentral.
GGGAAUUUUCCGCAAUGGGCGAAAGCCUGACGGAGCAAUACCGCGUGAGGGAUGACGGCCUAUGGGUUGUAAACCUCUUUUUUCAGGGAGGAAUCAAUGACGUGUACCUGAAGAAUAAGCAUCGGCUAACUCCGUGCCAGCAGCCGCGGUAAGACGGAGGAUGCAAGUGUUAUCCGGAAUCACUGGGCGUAAAGCGUCUGUAGGUGGUUUAAUAAGUCAACUGUUAAAUCUUGGGGCCCAACCUCAAAAUCGCAGUCGAAACUAUUAGACUAGAGUAUAGUAGGGGUAAAGGGAAUUUCCAGUGGAGCGGUGAAAUGCGUAGAGAUUGGAAAGAACACCGAUGGCGAAGGCACUUUACUGGGCUAUUACUAACACUCAGAGACGAAAGCUAGGGUAGCAAAUGGGAUUAGAUACCCCAGUAGUCAA